This 73-nucleotide transfer RNA is filed under the name Trichonephila inaurata madagascariensis. It matches the Rfam family "tRNA". Rfam says of the family: Transfer RNA (tRNA) molecules are approximately 80 nucleotides in length. Lineage: Eukaryota; Metazoa; Arthropoda; Arachnida; Araneae; Nephilidae. The record is from Rfam by way of RNAcentral.
GUCCCUGUAGCGCAAUUGAUACUGCGUUGGACUUUUAAUCCAAAGGUCGUGGUUUCGAAUCCCACCUGGGAUG